UUAUGACCAUGUCACCCGGAAACGCCGGUUCUCGUUCGAUCUCUGAAGUUAAGCAACGCCGAGCCCGAACAGUACCACGAGAGAUAACGACUUAGGAAUACCA
This is a non-coding RNA of Acanthosepion pharaonis, 103 nucleotides long. The record is from the annotation of a GenBank genome assembly. NCBI's taxonomy places the organism in Eukaryota, Metazoa, Mollusca, Cephalopoda, Sepiida, Sepiidae.